AUAAUUUUAAUAUUAAGUAAUAAUAACAUUUUAAAAUCUGUUAUCAGUUUAAUAUCUGAUAUGUCCUUUAUUUGAGGACUGUAUAUUAAGUUGAUUUUUGAAACAGGGGGGUGGAAUAGGAGCUUGCUCUGUCCACACCGUGCAUUGACCUGGUAUUGCAGUGCCUUCGGGAAUGGUGCUUCUCCU
This 186-nucleotide small nuclear RNA is filed under the name Chelydra serpentina (North American snapping turtle). RNAcentral's name for it is "U2 spliceosomal RNA (ENSCSRG00000016706.1)". It matches the Rfam family "U2 spliceosomal RNA". From Rfam's summary of the family: U2 is a small nuclear RNA (snRNA) component of the spliceosome (involved in pre-mRNA splicing). Complementary binding between U2 snRNA (in an area lying towards the 5' end but 3' to hairpin I) and the branchpoint sequence (BPS) of the intron results the bulging out of an unpaired adenosine, on the BPS, which initiates a nucleophilic attack at the intronic 5' splice site, thus starting the first of two transesterification reactions that mediate splicing. The record is from Rfam by way of RNAcentral. Lineage: Eukaryota; Metazoa; Chordata; Testudines; Chelydridae.